Molecule: long non-coding RNA, 1473 nt
Organism: Lolium perenne
Lineage: Eukaryota; Viridiplantae; Streptophyta; Magnoliopsida; Poales; Poaceae
Source: RefSeq, a predicted model, not a curated record
GGACAGCGAGCGGACAAGCGUUGCAAUCUUUUUUUCUUUUUUCUUUAUCUUUAUAACCUUCAGCCAGCCAGCUACAAGCAAAGUAUCGAUUUCUGUCUUUAGCAAAAGCAAAAUAUAAUACUCUCCAGGAAAGAUCAAAAGUUCAAGGUAAGGAUACUAACGUUUGCUUUUAUUCUGUCCAAGGUAUUUGUGCACACACACAAGCACGAAGCACCCCAAACAUUUCAUUUCAGCAUGUAGCAAGUCCUCUCUUCUGCUCUCCGAUCCGUCCAUGCUGUCGUGUGGAGUGUGGACUAUCCACUUGGGUUCUAUCCAGCUACGAAAAUCUACAUAGUGUCAUUUAUUCAACUUAACCAAGGAAGCAAUCGAGCACAAUUCGAUACACUGAUCUGGAGAUUGGUAAUCAGUUAACUAGUCAACGUUAACCCCGAAAUGGAAUUAAUCUAGUGGCUAGGGAUCAACAGAUCCUACCAAGUUGGUUUCAUCAUGCGUACGGAGGGAUGAAUUGAGGGAACCACCAGAAAAACUGGGUGAAAGAACCAGGUCUCAUUGGAGCUCCAAUCACCUGACCAACAACGCUCCAAACAAAUUUGGCAGUUGGACAGUUGAAGAAGAGAUGAGAGAUGGAUUCCCCAUUUUAGAAGAAGUGACAAGCAGAGUUCCCAAGCCAAUUGCCUCGUUUCAGCAGGUUAUCUUUUGUCGCAAUAGCACCAUGCCAAAUAAGUUAUAACUAGAUUUUGAUUUUGAGAGGUAUCUUGCUUUUCCAUUGAUGUUUGAAAGUUCUAUCCAAACCACAUCCACACAGGUGCUUGUAGACAGAGUUGACAGUAAAUUUGCCGUGCUUUGCCCAUUUCCAGAAAGGUUUGUCAGGUUCUUCACUGAGAAUAGUUAGAAACAUAAUUUGAGUCGGCCCAUGGAUCUGCAUAACAACAUCAACAUCCAUCUCCUGAAAGAGAACCUCCAGUUCAAAGUUGCUGCCUCUCCCACUGUAAUAGAUUGUUCCAUACAAAUCUCAUAAAUGUGAGAAAACCUGUCUUUUAAAGGACACUGAUCACACCAAGCAUCCCCCCAGAAACUGGUGGUUCUGCCAUCACCUACCUGCAUCCUUCUCCCACCCAGGUAUAUGUGUUUAACAUGUAACAUAUAAUCUUUCCAGAGGGGAGAAUCACCAGGUCUGUUCUUUGUAUAAAAAACAUCUUCAUCCCUCAAGUAUUUCUGUCUCAUCAGAUUUUGCCAUGGGCCAAAACCAUUCUCAAGUUUCCACCAUAACUUGCACAUCAGGCUAAUAUUAAACUUGUAUAGAUUUUUCAAACCCAGACGCCCUUUUUUUCUUGGGUGUACAGAUCCAUUUCCACUUAACAAAAUAAUAUUUCUUUUUAUCAGCACUCCCAGAAAUAGGACCUGAUGAGUUUGUCAACCUCUUCAAUGUUUAUUUUAUGUAGCAAUCUCAUAUAAAUCUUGUACACAAUAAUA